This 179-nucleotide ribosomal RNA is filed under the name uncultured bacterium. Its description in RNAcentral is "partial 16S ribosomal RNA". It matches the Rfam family "Bacterial small subunit ribosomal RNA", at positions 1321 to 1500 of the family's 1533-position model. The record is from RNAcentral.
UGAAGCCGGAAUUGCUAGUAAUGGCAGGUCAGCAUACUGCCGUGAAUACGUUCCCGGGCCUUGUACACACCGCCCGUCACACCAUGAGAGUUGGGAAUACCCGAAGCCUGUGAGCUAACGUUAAGAGGCAGCAGUCGAAGGUAGAAUCAAUGAUUGGGGUGAAGUCGUAACAAGGUACC